This 884-nucleotide ribosomal RNA is filed under the name uncultured bacterium. RNAcentral describes it as "bacterial SSU rRNA". It matches the Rfam family "Bacterial small subunit ribosomal RNA", at positions 28 to 898 of the family's 1533-position model. The record is from RNAcentral.
GACGAACGCUGGCGGCGUGCUAAUACAUGCAAGUCGAGCGAAUCAAUGGGAGCUUGCUCCUGAGAUUAGCGGCGGACGGGUGAGUAACACGUGGGUAACCUGCCUGUAAGACUGGGAUAACUUCGGGAAACCGGAGCUAAUACCGGAUAAUUUCUUUUCUCGCAUGAGAAGAGAUGGAAAGAUGGUUCUGCUAUCACUUACAGAUGGACCCGCGGCGCAUUAGCUAGUUGGUGAGGUAAUGGCUCACCAAGGCCACGAUGCGUAGCCGACCUGAGAGGGUGAUCGGCCACACUGGGACUGAGACACGGCCCAGACUCCUACGGGAGGCAGCAGUAGGGAAUCUUCCGCAAUGGACGAAAGUCUGACGGAGCAACGCCGCGUGAGCGAAGAAGGCCUUCGGGUCGUAAAGCUCUGUUGUUAGGGAAGAACAAGUACGAGAGUAACUGCUCGUACCUUGACGGUACCUAACCAGAAAGCCACGGCUAACUACGUGCCAGCAGCCGCGGUAAUACGUAGGUGGCAAGCGUUGUCCGGAAUUAUUGGGCGUAAAGCGCGCGCAGGCGGUUUCUUAAGUCUGAUGUGAGAGCCACGGCUCAACCGUGGAGGGUCAUUGGAAACUGGGGAACUUGAGUGCAGAAGAGAAAAGCGGAAUUCCACGUGUAGCGGUGAAAUGCGUAGAGAUGUGGAGGAACACCAGUGGCGAAGGCGGCUUUUUGGUCUGUAACUGACGCUGAGGCGCGAAAGCGUGGGGAGCAAACAGGAUUAGAUACCCUGGUAGUCCACGCCGUAAACGAUGAGUGCUAAGUGUUAGAGGGUUUCCGCCCUUUAGUGCUGCAGCUAACGCAUUAAGCACUCCGCCUGGGGAGUACGGUCGCAAGACUGAA